This 300-nucleotide ribosomal RNA is filed under the name uncultured Winogradskyella sp. RNAcentral describes it as "partial 16S ribosomal RNA". It matches the Rfam family "Bacterial small subunit ribosomal RNA", at positions 496 to 795 of the family's 1533-position model. Lineage: Bacteria; Pseudomonadati; Bacteroidota; Flavobacteriia; Flavobacteriales; Flavobacteriaceae. The record is from RNAcentral.
GCUAACUUCGGGCGCGCAGCGGAGGUAAUACGUAGUGGGCGAGCGGUGCUCGGAAUCACUGGUCGUAAAGCGCACGCAGGUGGCUUUCUAAGUCAGGGGUGAAAUCCGGCAGCUCAACGCAGGAAUUGCCUGUGAUACUGGAGUGCUCGAGUCCGGAAGAGGUGAGGGGAACUGCAAGUGUAGAGGUGAAAUUCGUAGAUAUUCGCAAGAACACCAGUGGCGAAGGCGGCUCACUGGUCCGUUACUGACGCUGAGGUGCGAAAGCGUGGGGAGCAAACAGGAUUAGAUACCCGAGUAGUC